UGGGGAAUUUUGCACAAUGGGGGAAACCCUGAUGCAGCGACGCCGCGUGAUUUAGAAGGCCUUCGGGUUGUAAAAAUCUUUUGUAUAGGAAGAAAAUGACAGUACUAUACGAAUAAGGUCCGGCUAAAUACGUGCCAGCAGCCGCGGUAAUACGUAUGGACCGAGCGUUGUCCGGAAUCAUUGGGCGUAAAGGGUACGUAGGCGGCCCAGUAAGUUAGAAGUGAAAUAAUAUAGCUCAACUAUAUAAAGCUUUUAAAACUGCUAGGCUUGAGAGAUGGAAGGGAAAGUGGAAUUCCUAGUGUAGCGGUGAAAUGCGCAGAUAUUAGGAAGAAUACCGGUGGCGAAGGCGACUUUCUGGUCAUCAUCUGACGCUGAGGUACGAAAGCGUGGGUAGCAAACAGG
RNAcentral lists this ribosomal RNA (402 nucleotides) under Bacteroidota bacterium. RNAcentral's name for it is "Bacteroidetes bacterium partial 16S ribosomal RNA". It matches the Rfam family "Bacterial small subunit ribosomal RNA", at positions 355 to 776 of the family's 1533-position model. Lineage: Bacteria; Pseudomonadati; Bacteroidota. The record is from RNAcentral.